Molecule: ribosomal RNA, 564 nt
Filed under: uncultured archaeon
Lineage: Archaea
Description: bacterial SSU rRNA
Rfam family: Archaeal small subunit ribosomal RNA
Source: RNAcentral
ACGGGGAGCAGCAGGCGCGAAAACUUUACAAUGCCGGCAACGGCGUUAAGGGGACCUCGAGUGCCAGGUUACAAAUCUGGCUGUCGUGAUGCCUAAAAAGCAUUGCAUAGCAAGGGCCGGGCAAGACCGGUGCCAGCCGCCGCGGUAACACCGGCGGCUCGAGUGGUAACCGUUAUUAUUGGGUCUAAAGGGUCUGUAGCCGGCCGGAUAAGUCUCUUGGGAAAUCCAGCAGCUUAACUGUUGGGCUUUCAGGAGAUACUGUCUGGCUCGAGGCCGGGAGAGGUGAGAGGUACUUCAGGGGUAGGGGUGAAAUCUUGUAAUCCUUGAAGGACCCCCAGUGGCGAAGGCGUCUCACCAGAACGGACCUGACGGCAAGGGACGAAAGCUAGGGGCACGAACCCCGAUUAGAUACCCCGGGUAGCCCCUAGCCGUAAACCGAUACUCGCUAGGUGUCCGCCACCCGUGCCACCCGUUGUCCGGUGCCGUAGGGAAGCCGUGAAGCGAGCCCCCCUGGGAAGUACGGCCGCCAGGGCUGAAACUUAAAGGAAUUGGCGGGGGGAGCAC